Rhineura floridana is the source of this 593-nucleotide long non-coding RNA. RefSeq lists it as uncharacterized. The record is from RefSeq and is a predicted model, not a curated record. NCBI's taxonomy places the organism in Eukaryota, Metazoa, Chordata, Lepidosauria, Squamata, Rhineuridae. The transcript has 3 exons.
GGCAGAGGGCGAGUCGCUGGGUUCUGAGAAGAGGGCGGGGAUUCGUAGUCCCGGCUGAUUACAGAGACAGAAGCUGUCUUCUUCCAAUCAGUCUGUCUGUGUUGCUCAGUUCAUUCACCAGCUCAUCUAAUUGCAUGAUGCCAUAUGUUAUUAUCUUGUGUGAAAGAUACUGUAAGAAAGCUGUAAAGUUCUCACUGGAGAAUCUCUCCUUGGGUGACAAGACACUUGGAUGUAAAUCCAGAUCUUUUGCUUCUUUUUAGUAGGCUACCUGUCAAACAAUUAAACCGGUCAAAGCUUUCUGAAGUCUGUUGGAUUUGUGAUAGUUCAAUAUGUGAAUCAGAGCCUCCACCUUAAUGUUCUUAGAAUAGUUGUUGGAAAAAGAAUUUGGAAUUUCACAAAACUAUCUAACUAGAAAGCAUAAAAUAUUGUAUUUUCAUUUGCAUGGCUUGCUGGCUUUUAUGUGGCAGAUCCAAUAACAACAAGCUACACUAAGCUCAUAAAACAAAGUAAGACGAGCGGCUCCUUUUUUUAAUGGCCCAGUGCAACAGUUAUGGCUGACAGCCUUUCAUAAUUCAUCUUAAACCUGGAUGCCU